AUCGGUUGUCAUGCCAAUGGCACGGCCGAGCAGCUAUGUGCGGAUCGGAUAAACGCUGAAAGCAUCUAAGCGUGAAGCCGUCUCCAAGAUAAGAUAUCCCACUGUUUACAGUUAAGACCCCUUGUAGACUACGAGGUUGAUAGGUUGGAUGUGUAAGUACAGUGAUGUAUUUAGCUAGCCAAUACUAAUAGGUCGAGGGCUUGACCUU
Molecule: non-coding RNA, 208 nt
Filed under: Eubacterium sp. CAG:251
Lineage: Bacteria; Bacillati; Bacillota; Clostridia; Eubacteriales; Eubacteriaceae
Description: Bacterial large subunit ribosomal RNA
Rfam family: Bacterial large subunit ribosomal RNA
Source: Rfam by way of RNAcentral